UACGUAGGGAGCAAGCGUUGUUCGGAUUUACUGGGCGUAAAGGGUGCGUAGGCGGCUUUAUAAGUCAGUGCUGAAAUAUCCCGGCUUAACCGGGAGGGUGGCAUUGAUACUGCAGAGCUUGAGUGAAGUCGAGGUAGGCGGAAUUGACGGUGUAGCGGUGAAAUGCUUAGAUAUCGUCAAGAACACCGAUAGUGAAGACAGCUUACUAGACUUCAACUGACGCUGAGGCACGAAAGUGUGGGGAUCAAACAGG
RNAcentral lists this ribosomal RNA (253 nucleotides) under uncultured bacterium. RNAcentral's name for it is "partial 16S ribosomal RNA". It matches the Rfam family "Bacterial small subunit ribosomal RNA", at positions 524 to 776 of the family's 1533-position model. The record is from RNAcentral.